UCUGAGAGGACGAUCAGCCACACUGGAACUGAGAUACGGUCCAGACUCCUACGGGAGGCAGCAGUGGGGAAUCUUGCGCAAUGGGCGAAAGCCUGACGCAGCAACGCCGCGUGUGUGAUGAAGGUCUUCGGAUCGUAAAGCACUGUCGGGAGGGACGAAUAAGUCCCGGGUGAACAAUCCGGGGCGACGACGGUACCUCCAAAGGAAGCACCGGCUAACUCUGUGCCAGCAGCCGCGG
This 238-nucleotide ribosomal RNA is filed under the name uncultured bacterium. RNAcentral's name for it is "partial 16S ribosomal RNA". It matches the Rfam family "Bacterial small subunit ribosomal RNA", at positions 291 to 520 of the family's 1533-position model. The record is from RNAcentral.